Long non-coding RNA from Amphiprion ocellaris (clown anemonefish), 2431 nucleotides. RefSeq lists it as uncharacterized. NCBI's taxonomy places the organism in Eukaryota, Metazoa, Chordata, Actinopteri, Pomacentridae. The record is from RefSeq and is a predicted model, not a curated record. The transcript has 3 exons.
GAAGACAGCUCGCUAGCGUAUCUAGUCUGUGUGUAUCUAUGGUCCGCACGUCUGGUAGCAUCUCUGGCUGCUGUUGAUCUUGUUUUUGGAGUAAAACACGGUGGAAGCUGAAUUAGUGAGGAUGACUCCUGCUCCUGUCAUCUCUAAGCUCCUCACACAUCUUUACCUGCACAUGAGGAAAAUCACUCCUGUAGAAUGCAGAUGUUCAGAGGGAGAUGAUGCCACAUCUGGUCCAGCUGAUGGAAGGUCUUGAAGUUCUCUGACUGGCCUCGACUGAAGAUGGUCGUCUCACUGGAUUUAAGGUUCAGAUGCUCAGUAACAAACUCCACCAAUGUGCCAACAGGGAAGCUUUAGGUUUAUUAAAUGUUGCUAUGAAGGUAUCGCUGUUUUUCUUUGUGAAUGCAAUGUGCUCCAACUGAAACUUGAAUUAGAACUUAGAAGUAAAUCCUUCCAUCUGAAAGGAUUUAGUUGCAUUAAUAACCUGAUAACAUUCUAAUUUUUAUUCCAGUCUUGGUUGAAAAUAGAAUCUCUGUAUUGAUUCAGGUAAAAACUGAACUUCACAGCAUGUUGAAGCAAAACAACCAGAUGAAAACUGUGAUGGUGUUGGAUUGUCAGACUGUAAUGUUGCAGCUCAAAGCAGCUUUUCUAGCUCAGUUCAUUCUGACAUUCAGCUAUGAAUCAACACAGCAGAUGGUGAUCCAUGCUGUGGAAGUCUCACAUCUCCUGAUUUAAUGGAGCUGCUUUGCACUUUUUACACUGUUUAUUCACCAACACUUUAUUUAAUAAAAGUCCCAUCUAGUUUUUAUGAGGAAUGUGAUGUUUUAAUUUCUCUGUGAAUAACUGCAGUCUAAUGCAACAGCUGGAGUUGUAACAUCUGUCCUGAUAUUGAUCAUGAAGUAUUGAUCAGAAUACUUAUGGUUAGCAGUCAUCCCUGAAGUUUUACAUUCAAAUCUUUACUUGUGUUGUGAACUUUGGUAAGAAGCAGAAACGUUAGCGUUGCCAUGGAUACAUGAGUGUUAAAUUCUGUCCAUGUUUCCAUUUUGGGAAAUUCAGUCCAGCAGAUGAGUUUGUUUUUACUGCCAGCUACCAUUCAGUCUGAGAUAUUAAGAAUAAAUUAAUAUGCAUAAUGUGGAAAUUAACAGAUUUUAUUUUUAUUUAUUCCUACAGCUGCUGCAGGGAAUGUUCUCAAAUGUGGAGGAAUUUAGUCUCAAUCACAGACAACAAAUAUCUGAAAGUCGGGUUAUUGUUGUUUAUCAGCACAAUACAAAAAGUUUAAUGUCAGAAAUAUUCCAGUUAAGACCCUAGAAUAUCAUGAUUUAUGUAAAUUUACCUCAAUAAUAUGAAUGUUCAGGUCAAGAUUGUACAGUGAUAUUUAUUAUGUAAGUUUAGCUGAUUGAAGUUUAUGACUCUGCACUAAAAUAUUAUUUAAAUUGACAUCAUUAUUAUAAUAUUUAGGGUCAGACCCUACAGUAUUGAGAUUAAGAAAUCAAAUAUUCUAUAAAAUGUAAAUACACUGAACUCAUUUGGAUAUAUUUAAGUGAGACUCUACAAUAUUUGACACAAAUUUAUCUAAAUCAAAAUUUUAAUAAUUUUCACGCCAAACAUUUACUGGACUGAUUUAAAUAUUAAAAUCACUGCUUUCUAAUCCUCUGCUGUACUUUCAAACCUGAGGCCUUAAAUAGAAAAACACAAGUAUCUGAUUGAAGGAACUUCUGCAGAGUCCUGGUUCCAGAACAUGAUGAUAGAAUUAUAGACAAACUUUAACAAAAGCUGCCUGAGAGUUUACAGGUUUUUAUGUUGGAUUUCUUCGGUAAUUUAAUGAGAGUUAUCAGCAAUAAUCAAGUGUUCAUUUGAUGAACUACAUUUCCUAAAACAUCCAGAAUUGGAGCUCAUAUCUUUGGCAGCUGUAAAGUUUCUGCUCCUUCAAAGUUCACAACACAAUGAAUGAAUUCCUAAAACACUCUCAAUGCUGGAGAGCGUUUGUGAUGCUGAAGCAGUGACCAGUUUUUCUGUUUCUUCUCUGAAGCUGCACAACGAGGGACGUCUGCAGAGACUGAGAAAGAGUCUCACCACAUCCUGACAUGAGGAAAAAGACUUGAUUGAAGACUACAAUGAGAAAAACUAUCAGACAGCAGACUGCUGCAUUCAAGGUGAGCUCUGAACAUUUGAUCUGGAACAGGAAUUCAAUAACUGCAGCAUGAGCUUCAUUUCAGUCUGUAGCUACUGAAUUCAUGGAUGAAUCAUCUGGCACUAGAGAAGAAGACCAUCAAACAUCCACGUCAGCUGAUGGAGGUCCAAGAGUCUCACCGAACAACCAACCUCCAGAGUGAAGACCUCGAAUCUGAUUGGACGGUCUCCUAUUCAGCCACAUGUGUGAACAAAUGCCUCUAAGUUGAUUUGUUUUCUAAAAUAAAUCUAGUUUGAGUCCUAA